RNAcentral lists this ribosomal RNA (516 nucleotides) under Fusarium graminearum. RNAcentral's name for it is "eukaryotic LSU rRNA". The stretch from base 149 to 302 matches the Rfam family "5.8S ribosomal RNA". The record is from RNAcentral. Lineage: Eukaryota; Fungi; Ascomycota; Sordariomycetes; Hypocreales; Nectriaceae.
GGAAUUCGGACUCACUCCCAACCCCUGUGACAUACCUUAUGUUGCCUCGGCGGAUCAGCCCGCGCCCCGUAAAAAGGGACGGCCCGCCGCAGGAACCCUAAACUCUGUUUUUAGUGGAACUUCUGAGUAUAAAAAACAAAUAAAUCAAAACUUUCAACAACGGAUCUCUUGGUUCUGGCAUCGAUGAAGAACGCAGCAAAAUGCGAUAAGUAAUGUGAAUUGCAGAAUUCAGUGAAUCAUCGAAUCUUUGAACGCACAUUGCGCCCGCCAGUAUUCUGGCGGGCAUGCCUGUUCGAGCGUCAUUUCAACCCUCAAGCCCAGCUUGGUGUUGGGAGCUGCAGUCCUGCUGCACUCCCCAAAUACAUUGGCGGUCACGUCGAGCUUCCAUAGCGUAGUAAUUUACACAUCGUUACUGGUAAUCGUCGCGGCCACGCCGUUAAACCCCAACUUCUGAAUGUUGACCUCGGAUCAGGUAGGAAUACCCGCUGAACUUAAGCAUAUCAAUAAGCGGAGGAA